CCUACGGGUGGCAGCAGUGAGGAAUAUUGGUCAAUGGACGAGAGUCUGAACCAGCCAAGUAGCGUGAAGGAUGACUGCCCUAUGGGUUGUAAACUUCUUUUAUAAAGGAUUAAAACGAGGCACGUGUGCCUUUUUGCAUGUACUUUAUGAAUAAGGAUCGGCUAACUCCGUGCCAGCAGCCGCGGUAAUACGGAGGGUGCAAGCGUUACACGGAAUCACUGGGCGUAAAGGGAGCGUAGGUGGGGUAAUAAGUCGGAUGUGAAAGUCUGUGGCUCAACUAUAAAAUUGCAAUUGAUACUGGUACUCUGGAGUACAGGAGAGGUAGGCGGAAUUCGUGGUGUAGGGGUAAAAUCCGUAGAGAUCAAGAAGAAUACUCAUUGCGAAGGCGACCUGCUAAAACAUGACUGACGCUGAUGCACGAAAGCGUGGGGAGCAAACAGGAUUAGAUACCCGGGUAGUC
This 460-nucleotide ribosomal RNA is filed under the name uncultured bacterium. RNAcentral describes it as "partial 16S ribosomal RNA". It matches the Rfam family "Bacterial small subunit ribosomal RNA", at positions 338 to 795 of the family's 1533-position model. The record is from RNAcentral.